Molecule: ribosomal RNA, 301 nt
Filed under: uncultured bacterium
Lineage: Bacteria
Description: partial 16S ribosomal RNA
Rfam family: Bacterial small subunit ribosomal RNA
Source: RNAcentral
CAGCAGCCGCGGUAAUACGGAGGGAGCUAGCGUUGUUCGGAAUUACUGGGCGUAAAGCGCGCGUAGGCGGUUACUCAAGUCAGAGGUGAAAGCCCGGGGCUCAACCCCGGAACUGCCUUUGAAACUAGGUGACUAGAAUCUUGGAGAGGUCAGUGGAAUUCCGAGUGUAGAGGUGAAAUUCGUAGAUAUUCGGAAGAACACCAGUGGCGAAGGCGACUGACUGGACAAGUAUUGACGCUGAGGUGCAAAAGCGUGGGGAGCAAACAGGAUUAGAUACCCCAGUAGUCCCUGUCUCUUAUAC